CCUACGGGAGGCAGCAGUGAGGAAUAUUGGUCAAUGGACGAGAGUCUGAACCAGCCAAGUAGCGUGAAGGAUGACUGCCCUAUGGGUUGUAAACUUCUUUUAUAAAGGAAUAAAACGAGGCACGUGUGCCUUUUUGCAUGUACUUUAUGAAGAAGGAUCGGAUAACUCCGGGCCAGCAGCCGCGGUAAUGCGGAGGAUCCGAGCGUUAACCGGAUUUAUUGGGUUUAAAGGGAGCGUAGAUGGGUUGUUAAGUCAGUUGUGAAAGUUUGCGGUUCAACCGUAAAAUUGCAAUUGAUACUGGGAGUCUUGAGUACAGUUGAGGUAGGCGGAAUUCGUGGUGUAGCGGUGAAAUGCUUAGAUAUCACGAAGAACCCCGAUUGCGAAGGCAGCUUACUAAACUGUGACUGACAUUGAGGCUCGAAAGUGUGGGUAUCGAACAGGAUUAGAUACCCCAGUAGUC
This 460-nucleotide ribosomal RNA is filed under the name uncultured bacterium. RNAcentral's name for it is "partial 16S ribosomal RNA". It matches the Rfam family "Bacterial small subunit ribosomal RNA", at positions 338 to 795 of the family's 1533-position model. The record is from RNAcentral.